Molecule: long non-coding RNA, 369 nt
Filed under: Ricinus communis (castor bean)
Lineage: Eukaryota; Viridiplantae; Streptophyta; Magnoliopsida; Malpighiales; Euphorbiaceae
Description: long non-coding RNA (RCOM_LNC000936)
Source: RNAcentral
CCUAGUGUCAAAAGAUAGACUUAAAUAUGGACUCGCUAUACAUUUCUAAUACACAGUCAUCAAUUGAUUAAAUCAACAAAGGAAUGACAUCAUCCACUCGCACAAAGAAGCAAGGAUGGUAUAUGGUACGCAUGCCCAAUUGUCACAUUAGAUAUCCCCAAUCAAAAUUACAUAUCCUGAUUUCCCUGCAUAGGUUGAGAACCUCUAUCAUAAAUUAAAUGCUAAAUUUGACCAUUUAUUUUUUUACCUGUGCAAGACGAGUCCCAUGUCCAUUUGGAGCAAGCAGAACAAGCCCAUGCCAAGCAUCUCUAAAACCAACGACCUCAAGAAGUCCAUCAUCUACAUAUGGUGGAGUCAAGUCUCUCUGCA